Molecule: long non-coding RNA, 225 nt
Organism: Lolium rigidum
Lineage: Eukaryota; Viridiplantae; Streptophyta; Magnoliopsida; Poales; Poaceae
Exons: 3
Source: RefSeq, a predicted model, not a curated record
GCACUAUCACGUCCUAAAGCAUAUGCGGUCAGCAGCGGCCGGAAGAGGCAAGGGGACUGCAGCACGCUCGAGCCGGCGAUGACAUCAUGUUCUCACUCCACACCACCUUGCCUAAAGCGAAGGUCAAGAAAGGAGAAGCCUGACUUUAUUUUGUAUUGUUGGUGGUUUGUUUAAAAGGAAGCUUACAGUUUACCUACAUGUCAUUUCUGCUAAUAUAUUACAGGU